AUUGAACGCUGGCGGAAUGCUUUACACAUGCAAGUCGAGCGGCAGCGCGGGGCAACCUGGCGGCGAGCGGCGAACGGGUGAGUAAUACAUCGGAACGUGCCCAGACGUGGGGGAUAACUACUCGAAAGAGUGGCUAAUACCGCAUACGAUCUAAGGAUGAAAGCGGGGGAUCGCAAGACCUCGCGCGUUUGGAGCGGCCGAUGGCAGAUUAGGUAGUUGGUGGGGUAAAGGCUUACCAAGCCCGCCGAUCUGUAGCUGGUCUGAGAGGAUGAUCAGCCACACUGGAACUGAGACACGGUCCCAGACUCCUACGGGAGGCAGCAGUAGGGAAUA
Molecule: ribosomal RNA, 333 nt
Filed under: uncultured bacterium
Lineage: Bacteria
Description: bacterial SSU rRNA
Rfam family: Bacterial small subunit ribosomal RNA
Source: RNAcentral